AUCCUCUCAGGGUCACACCUGGAGAGUUUCCAGUACUCUACCACUCAUGACUGCAGAAGGGAGAGUCAAGCAGAGGCAUACCCAUUCUAUUCCUAGCUUGGGCAGUCGCUAGCGAGUGGAGGGUAAUCUGCUACAAGU
Small nucleolar RNA from Tachyglossus aculeatus (Australian echidna), 138 nucleotides. NCBI's taxonomy places the organism in Eukaryota, Metazoa, Chordata, Mammalia, Monotremata, Tachyglossidae. The record is from RefSeq and is a predicted model, not a curated record.